UUUUAGAAUGCGACAGGGAUUGAAGCGAUAUCCUUUUGUGGAGCGUACUAGCGAACAAAAGAUAAAGCGGAAAGCCCGCUUGGUC
This 85-nucleotide small RNA is filed under the name Chishuiella changwenlii. Its description in RNAcentral is "Flavo-1 RNA". It matches the Rfam family "Flavo-1 RNA". The record is from RNAcentral. Lineage: Bacteria; Pseudomonadati; Bacteroidota; Flavobacteriia; Flavobacteriales; Weeksellaceae.